Molecule: transfer RNA, 89 nt
Filed under: Legionellales bacterium
Lineage: Bacteria; Pseudomonadati; Pseudomonadota; Gammaproteobacteria; Legionellales
Description: tRNA-Ser
Rfam family: tRNA
About the family: Transfer RNA (tRNA) molecules are approximately 80 nucleotides in length. Their secondary structure includes four short double-helical elements and three loops (D, anti-codon, and T loops).
Source: RNAcentral
GGAGAGGUACCGAAGUGGUCAUAACGGCGCCGAUUCGAAAUCGGAUGGGGCUUACGCCCACGCGGGUUCGAAUCCCGCUCUCUCCGCCA